CAGCUUUAAAAAAUUUCUUUUUUGGACCUGGCAAUCCAUUGGGCAGAAAAAGUAGAGUUCACCUGCUUCUGUGACCUUAGCAUAUAAACUAAAUAAAAAAGAAAAAGCUCAACCAGUGAAGUUGUGAAGAUACAACACCCAACAGACCAAAGAAACUCAUUUUGGCUUCACCUACCAGCAUCAAGGGCAGGCCUCAAGCCCACACCCUCUUCCACCACCACCAGUACUCUCCCUACAGGCUUUGCUCGCAGGACUAAAGAUUGUGCAGACGGGGAAAAUUUAUUACAGGAAAGAAGAAUAAUAUGGAAUGGAUUAGAAGAUGCAAGCAGCUGUGCAGUACCUUUCAACUGAUGAAACAGCUUUAAGAUUUAUAAUUCUAUCACUG
Long non-coding RNA from Physella acuta, 385 nucleotides. RefSeq lists it as uncharacterized. NCBI's taxonomy places the organism in Eukaryota, Metazoa, Mollusca, Gastropoda, Physidae. The record is from RefSeq and is a predicted model, not a curated record.